GCAUACUAUCUUCUUCGCUUCCGUGAAAUUCGUUGGGGGAAAAGAGCGGUUGCUUCCAAAUCGAUCGCCCUGUUUCCUCUGAUUCUCCAUCGACUCGUCUAACCGCAUCAGCACUAGAGGAAACUAUUGGGAUUUCUCGAAAUUUUGUUGCAUGUGUCUGUACAUAUUUUGAUAAUUCUGUUAGAAAUGUCGGAUGCUAGUAUGUUACUCCACGAACGUACUAUUUCGAAAAUUUCAUUCUACUCUGUUAGACCGUCUAGUUUGUCAGGUAAACAUGAUACUUAUUUAUCAGGCAGGCUAUCAAAACAUAUUUUCAUGCUAGUUACAGUUUUACUGAUACUAGAGGUUACUGGGUAAAGUUCUUCGCUCAAAUAUUGUGAAGGUCAACAGCGAAGAAAGUAAAUGAAUAAACAUCAGGAAUAUAGUGCUUUUUAGGCAAGUGCUGCUUUUAACCCAAUUUUUUCAGAGUAUGCCGUGGUAACUGACUUUUGCACAUUUUCCUUUAAAGUACUGUAUGAAAUAGUUAGUUUAUUCAACUUUUUCUUCCUGACAUUUCCCUUGAACUCAAAGCCACAGGACCCACAAGCAGUGUAAACAUACAAAUUAGAGUAAAACUGCUGAAUGUACUUACAGAUGAAAAUUAUGAUGGAUUUUAUUCGAACAAAGGAAUUACAGAUAUUUCAUUUAUUCGCUCAUGUAGUCCUAAAAAUGUUUCUUUGAUUGACAUGACUUCAGUAUAAACUUCUUGCAUAGUUGGUCGGUCUUUUGGUGAAUCCACAGAGCAUUUCAGACCUAGUUUCACCAGUUGCAUUGUACAUUCUUGCACGCCGACCAUUACAUGUGUCCCAUUGCCUGAAGGUUUACUUGUGUGUUCGUCCUGGUAUUGUGGAAUAAAAUUGGGCUCUAGAAUAUCACCAAUCUUGUGAGGAAAUGCCAGUUCCACAAACUUGUGGAGACCAUGUCCAUCCUUAAACAUCUCAUCUGUUGGGUUCUUUCCCAUCAGCAUUUCUAGCAGAAUAAUUCCAUAGCUGUAGACAUCCCCCUCAGUAGACAUGUUGCUACCCAUGCCAUACUCUGCAAAAUUUGCAAAUAUGUCCUGUGAAAUCCUUUCAACUGCUUAAUCAUUAGGUAAUAUUUAUUUUUGAAAUGACUGUAUUUGUUUUUUUACUGAAAGCAUAUGCAUUGGACACUUAAUUUAGGUACAUAAUUCUGGUGCUCCAGUACAUCAUUUUUUUGAUAAAGGUAAACAUGGUUUCCUUUUAGAAAUAAUGGGCAGGGGGUAAACAUGAUUUUUCAAGGAAGUACAACUUAAUUUGAAUAUAUUGACAAUAAAAGAAUGAAAUGUCUACUAACCUGGUGCAAUGUAUCCAAUUGAUCCUCUUGCCCCUAUCAAGCUUUUGGAUGGAUGGUCAUAAAGAAACUUUGCUAAUCCAAAGUCACCAACACGAGCACACAUGUCAUCGUCCAAAAGGACAUUGCUUGGCUUUAGAUCACAAUGGAUCAAAGGAGGCAUGCAUCUGUUAUGGAGAUAGUCCAAGGCAGCAGCUAUAUCCGUCGCAAUUCUUAUCCUUAACCCAAGAUUCAGUGGCCUUUUUGAGCCAUGAUUUUCUGUUACUGGAUGAAGCCAACUUUCUAGGCUACCAUUUGACAUGUGCUCAAGAACUAGAGCUUUGAACUCAUUUCCUGAUGGAUCAAAUGUAGAACACAUGCUUAUCGCCCUUACGAGAUUUCGAUGGCGUGUGUUUUUCAGGGCCUCACACUCAGCAAUGAAACUUUUUGAUGCUCCAUCUUGAUCAAGCCUGAACACCUUGACUGCAGCUAUGCGGGGUUCAGCCAAGAAUGUACCUCUAUAGACAGAUCCACACCCUCGCUCUCCAACCAGGUUAAUAGAAGAGAAACCACCUGUUGCCUUGUAUAGAUCAUGAUAUGAAAAUCUUUUCCACCCCUCGGACUGCUGGUUGAUUGGUUGUUUAGUUGCUUCCCGCUUUCUGUGUACAAUGGCUAUGGCACAUAUGAGUGAGACUAGAACAAUGGUAACAAUAGGGACCACCACCAUUAGAACAUAUGAACUCCUUUUUCUUUUGAAUGUGGACUUAAUACAAGGUUGUAGUUGCAGCAUUUGAGAAUUUGUGCACAGAUUUUUGUUUCCUUGGAUGAGCACCAGACUUGAAUUGCCAAACACACCAGUUGUAGGUACUGGCCCUUGAAAGUUGUUGAAGGACAGAUUCAGAAGCUGCAAAGAGCUGAAUGACUCGAAGAAGCUUGGAAUUUCACCAGACAAGCUGUUCUGCGACAGAUCCAUCUCAACAACGCCUCGCAGGUUCAUAAAAGAUCCAGGAAUGCCACCUUCAAGAUAAUUUGCAUCCAAACGAAGCGACUCCAAGUGAAGGCACUGGCCGAGACUGUUGGGAAUUUUUCCAGAUAGCUGGUUGUUGGAGAUUAACGAGCUCAAGAUUAUUUAAGCUGCUAACUUCUGAUGGUAUCAGUCCAGUUAGUUGGUUAUAUGACAAGUCUAAGCCUUCAGAAAGUGAGGAAAUAGAAAACAGUUUUGGAGGGAUGCUUCCAUGAAAGGUAUUACAAGAAAGGUUUAGUCUAGUCAGGCUUCUGCAUCCUGCUAAACUGGCAGGUAUCGACCCACUUAAUAUGUUCUUCUCCAGAUAAAGUUCACUUAGCUUCUCAAGGUUUCCAAUUGAUCGUGGACUUCUCCAGAAAAUUUGUUUUCUGCUAAAUUCAGGACAAACAGAGUCUGAAUAUUUCCAAGUGUAGCAGGAAUAUUCCCUGAGAGGAAAUUUCUCUCCAUAUGAAUAAGAGUGAGACUGCUGAGAUUUCCUAUAUCUGGAUGUAUGAAACCAGUUAUUUGGUUAUCAUUCAGAAGCAACCACUGUAAGUUUUUCGGAAGAUUGCCAAUGGAAGUAGGUAACUCUCCUUGAAGAUUAUUCCUAUCCAAGUAUAACUUUUGCAACUGGGUGCAACUUGUUAGUGAGGACAAGAAAGUCCAGUCACCAGCUUCAAGCAGAUUGUCACCCAGAUCUAGAGUGACCAAGUUUGUCAAAGACCCCAGAGAAGGAAUGAUACCACUGAAUGCGUUAUUGCGGAGGCCAAGGUAUUUUAGGUCAGAGGCAUUUGCCAAAGAAGCAGGUACUGGGCCAUCAAACUGGUUACCUUGCAUUACCAACAUCUGAAUUCUCAGAAGUGUAUAGCCAAUGUUGGUUGGAAUUCUCCCAGAUAGCUGGUUGGCUCCAAGGCCAAGAUAAGUUAGAGAUGGGAUUGCAUAUAUAGUUGGAGGAACUGUGCCUGACAAGUUGUUAUAUGUCAUGUCUAAUACUUGCAAACCUGCAAGGCUACCUAAGCUCUCUGGAAUGCUCUCUUGUAAGUUGUUCAGAGCAAGCAAUAGGAAGGAUAGGGAGGAAAAGUUCCCUAAUGAGCUAGGUAUGCUCCCUGAAAGGUUAUUGCUAGUCAAGCUAAGAUAUUUCAAGGGAGAGGAUGCAUGAGCGAAGGACGGGAUUGACCCGGAAAAACCAUUGUAAGAGAGAUUUAAGGUGUAAAGCAAUGAGCUAUUGAAUAGUGCAGGAGGGAUCUCUCCACGGAGCUUGUUUGAUGCAAGGUUGAGGUAAGCAAGCGAGGAGGAAUUCACUAGGAAGCGUGGAAUUUCUCCUGUGAACGCAUUGUUGUCGAGAGCAAGCUUGGUAAGACGCGAGUUGCCUCCUAGGAACCGAGGAAUGGUGCCUGAAAGCUUGUUCCUAGCAAAGGAUAAUAUAGAAAGGUUCGGAAGCAAGGCAAACCCGGGUGGUAUGUGCCCCUGAAGAAAGUUGUCACUGAGGACAAGCUGUUCGAGGGAUGAACUUUGAGCAAGAGCUGAAGGGAUCUCACCUUCCAGGAGGUUGCUUGACAGGCUUAUGAUCUCCAGGCGGGAACACAUUGACAGUGCAUCGGGGAUCAUGCCGCCUAUGGAGUUGAUGCUGAGGUUUAGUUGUCUGAGUUGUGCCAGGCGGCCUAUCUCCGGGGGAAUGCUGCCACUGAUCUUAUUGUCAGGCAUGUUUAUCCUGGUCAAGAAACUGAGGUUGCUAAUGCAAGGAGGAAUCUGACCGGUAAGGUUCAGCGACAUGAGGUCUAGCGCAACAACACGAGGUGCUGCGCUCUGCACGGUGCUGCAUGUCACACCGCGCCAUUGACAGAAGCUCUGGGAGUCGUGUCGCCAUGUUGCCAGCGCUCCAGUGGUGAGGUUGCUGGCAAGGCCAGACUUGAGGCAGAGGAGCGUCUGUUGGUCGGCGUCAGAGUUGUUCCAAGAUGGAGCUGCGGCAUCGAGGGCACUGGCGGAGGGCUCCGGUGGGCAGGGUAUGGCAUCCGCCAUACCUUGAUUCUGGGGCAAUUUUUUUUUAUACCUAUGCAUCUAUCGAUCGGCAGACUCUGGAUCGGCAUCGGCUGUUUCGUUCGACCGCAGCCAGCAGCGCUGGCCUGAUGGGCCGACGCAUCCAGCUGUUGGGCCACGCAGGCAGGCACGACAGGUUCGAUUCCAUUGAGAGUCUAAAAAAAGGUUUGAUUCAAUCGAGCGGCCACACACACAACGCACACGCACGCACGCGACCAACUCUACCCAGACACGACGCAACCCUAAGCAGCUAGCGCGAUGGCGGCUGCUGGCCAUGUCGCGAGGACCAGGCGGGCGACUGAUGACGGGGGCAGCUGACGGCGGCGGCAGGCUGGGGGCUUAUAGGGCUGCCGCUGCAAGCUCCAGCGAAGGAAGCAAGCGGCGGCUUCAGUGGCGGUAGAAGCAAGUUCCAGCAGACGACGGCAGUUGGGAAUUUUCCUGGCCAUUCCCCGGUGUACGAACCAGAGGACUAAUUGCAGCCACUUUGUUGGGUAUUGGCAAUUUUUCUUCUGUCAAUUCUGCAGGAUCUGAACCAACUACAGUAAUUCUGAAUAUAACGGAUAAAAAUUUAUGUAGCGACCUUGUACAAUAUGGUGGAAAGUUUGUCUAUAUUUUUUCAUUCAUGCUAGUGUACUGUGGACGCACAAGUUUUUGUUUUUAGAUGAUUAUGCAUAAAAGCUAAUAAGAUGCCCAACCGGCGCAGUUCUAGACGCCAUUGAAAUCUUCAUUAUUGGUUUGUUUUAGGUUAUUUUCCUAUUGAAAUAUGCCUACAUUUUCAUUGUAUUGGGGUUAACGUUUGUAAUGUGUAUUGACUCUUUUGAUUUGCAUCAAAAAAAUUCUUUCCUUAAGACUUCGCCACACCUUAAAAAAAAUUCGUCCUCCGCCUCUGAUCGAGGGAGUGCGUGCAGGGGAAGAACAAGGCCACCAAAAUGGUCGACAGAGAAAGAAGCAGUGUAGGGAAAGAUGGUUCCAUGUUAGGGACUCAGAAGUCAGUACUGGCAGAUUGAAAGUUGUUUUCAUGCCACGUGUUUCUCGAUUAUAUUAGUCAAAGAAGUCAGUACUGGCAGAUUGAAAAGUUUGUCGCACAUGCCUUAUUGGAUUAUAUCGAGGAAGGUGCCGUGAUGGUACACAAGUUGAUCGCUCCAUUGAGGAAGGUGCCAUGAUGGUACACAAGUUGAUCGCUCCAUCUAGCCACUUGGACUAUAGUAGUAAGUUUCUGGCUUCAACUGCUCAAUGGAUGACGCUCAUGCCACCCUCCAUGGGAUGAUGCACAUUAUAUAUGCACACAUUUGGUGCCUAGCAUUCUUGACUUGUGCCUCAUCAAGCCAACUGCUCCUGAUUCCUGAAGCGGUAAAAAGAGCGAGCUUUGAGA
This is a long non-coding RNA of Triticum dicoccoides, 5741 nucleotides long. RefSeq lists it as uncharacterized. NCBI's taxonomy places the organism in Eukaryota, Viridiplantae, Streptophyta, Magnoliopsida, Poales, Poaceae. The record is from RefSeq and is a predicted model, not a curated record. The transcript is spliced from 3 exons.